Lemur catta (Ring-tailed lemur) is the source of this 824-nucleotide long non-coding RNA. RefSeq lists it as uncharacterized. The transcript has 3 exons. The record is from RefSeq and is a predicted model, not a curated record. NCBI's taxonomy places the organism in Eukaryota, Metazoa, Chordata, Mammalia, Primates, Lemuridae.
AUAGAUGCGUGUGGCCCCUCCUCUCAGGAGGCUGACUUUGAGCAAGAGACGGAGCUUAAAAUCAGCAUUUGCCAUGAUGGCCAUUCAGAAGCGAUCACAUUCAGUCAUGCAUGUGCCUCACGCUGACCGGCUGCAGCCCCGGGAUUCCGUCACAUGCCCUCUCAUCCAUCCUACUCGUCAGCAUUUACUGAGACCUUACUAUGUCUCGGAGAUUUCCCUAACAGCUAUACAGUCAACUGUCCCACAGUGCCCUGUACCGCGUUGAAAGGCACAGGUUACUGAACUUGGAGUAACAAUGACAGUUACAUUUGACUUUGCAUGUGCGGGCCAGGAACCACAUGGGAGGCUGGGGCAGGAUGUGGGCAGGAGGAAGCCCAGAAGUUGGGGACCCCAUGGGGUACUUAACAGGCCCAGCACAAAAUGUGUUCCUCCAGCUCCUGGGAGCAUCUUGAAGGACAAAGGCUGCAUUUUGGCUCUGGAGGUGAGGCGUGGGGUCCUGGAGAGCACCGGGACCUUCCAAACACCCCCUUGUGGGCAUUUUCUAGCUGCGACCCUCGUGGCCCCGCUGGUUCCUCCUCUUCCCUUUCUGCACAGUCCAUCAACGCUCCUCCUCGUCACCACCAAGACACGAGAUUGCAGCAGGAAGGACAUGUGAUUCCAGGGAGUUGCUGCUGAACUAAUAUGUGAAAUCUCAAAAAAUAGCCAGAGAAUAAACCAGGCAUCCGCCGUUAGAGGAGGGUCAUGAUGUCAUCGCACAUCUUACCACCAGAUGUCGCCACAGUACACGUACCCGUUUCUUCAUUGGCGAAUUCCUCAUUUACUAA